GGGGGAUUAGCUCAGCUGGGAGAGCACCUCCCUUACAAGGAGGGGGUCGGCGGUUCGAUCCCGUCAUCACCCA
RNAcentral lists this transfer RNA (73 nucleotides) under Escherichia coli O145:H28 str. RM12761. RNAcentral describes it as "tRNA-Val". It matches the Rfam family "tRNA". Rfam says of the family: Transfer RNA (tRNA) molecules are approximately 80 nucleotides in length. Their secondary structure includes four short double-helical elements and three loops (D, anti-codon, and T loops). RNAcentral also lists the same sequence under 1 other name. Lineage: Bacteria; Pseudomonadati; Pseudomonadota; Gammaproteobacteria; Enterobacterales; Enterobacteriaceae. The record is from RNAcentral.